This 335-nucleotide unclassified non-coding RNA is filed under the name soil metagenome. RNAcentral's name for it is "partial contains 5.8S ribosomal RNA, internal transcribed spacer 2, and large subunit ribosomal RNA". The stretch from base 1 to 120 matches the Rfam family "5.8S ribosomal RNA", at positions 35 to 154 of the family's 154-position model. The record is from RNAcentral.
GAUGAAGAACGCAGUGAAAUGCGAUAAGUAAUGUGAAUUGCAGAAUUCAGUGAAUCAUCGAAUCUUUGAACGCACAUUGCGCCCGCCAGUAUUCUGGCGGGCAUGCCUGUUCGAGCGUCAUUUCAACCAUCAAGCCCCCGGCUUGUGUUGGGGACCUGCGGCUGCCGCAGGCCCUGAAAAGCAGUGGCGGGCUCGCUGUCACACCGAGCGUAGUAGCAUACAUCUCGCUCUGGGCGUGCUGCGGGUUCCGGCCGUUAAACCACCUUCAUAACCCAAGGUUGACCUCGGAUCAGGUAGGAAGACCCGCUGAACUUAAGCAUAUAAUAAGCGGAGGA